GCAAGGAAAGGACAGCAACCUGGGAAGGAAAGGGCAAUUUAUAUAAAGGAGUGCUCUGUCUCUAGAGAAGUGCCUUUGAGACUGUUCUUUGAGAAAUAUGAGGGGAAAGGGCUAGAGAACUACAAGAUACUGCUACUUUUAUUAUAUAUUUGAUUUGUAGUUUUAAAAAAUUAUAUUUUUGCCAAGGCUUUUUUUAAUAACAUUUUCAUGCCCAAAGUAUUGAUUUCAGGGACGUUUUCACUACCUGGGGAAAGGGAUCAGUAAGUUGCACACAUUACUAACACAAUAAAUUCUUGCCACCCUACCAGCUAAGUUCUGAUUGAGAAGAGGCUACCAAAAACUCACAGGCAAAACCAAUUGUUGAGAUAAACAUGGGGGAAAUGCUACAAAGCCAAAACAAAGAACAAUUGCUUCAAGCCUCCCAAAUUUCUAUUUAAUUCAGAAAACAAAUUAACUCUAACCUCUAUCUGCGGCGCCUCUGCAGGGAAACCACAGUGGGAGGAAUCCCAGUUUACACACAAUCUGGAGAGAGGGAGGAAAUCCAAGGACUAAAUGGGAGGAGAAGAAAACAUGCUUGGACAAUGUGCUGCACACUGGUGGGACUGCAAUUGUAUGCAAGAAAAGCACCUUUCCUAUCAGAGGCAGUAGUGAGUAAGGAGAAGACUCAGCAAGGAGAAUAAUAAUAAUUAAGUCCCUGACACCAUAGUGAUGGACGUGAUCUAGUAACGGAGACAGAUGACCCAGUAGCUGAAUGACUGAUCAUCUCCCUCAGAACACAGCAGGGGAACUUCAGGCAAUGUAUCUGUAAAGCACCGAGUACCUUCCACUCUUCCCGACCCCACCAAUUUCCUCUGCACAAACCAUCCAUAUGGAUUUGACAUGUGGCCUCUGAGAGACCCUGCAUUGUACAUCCCAGUAAGUCAAAGCGUAUGGGGUGGAGGAGCCACGUUCCUACCUAAGCUUCUGCAAGUCACUAAGGGUCAAGUUAAGUGCAAGCCUGAUCCUGUUGUCUGGACCAGGCUUGCCCAGUUCAUGCUUUAAGCUGCCCAGCCUCAGCAGGCUGGGUUUCCUCUCAGCUGCAGAGCUCAAAGGAGGUGGCCCCUGUCUCGCUCCAUGUGGUCCUGGGCAGCUCAGCAUCCCCACCAGAUUGGGGGCACAUCUUCGUGGCUGGCUCAUCCUCACCCGCCUGAGGGGCUUCAAGACUUGGGGCUGGGGAAGGAGGUUGAGAAACAAGAGGGCUGUGGGACUUGAAGACUUCUCUGGAGCCAUGUAGCCCUUUCAGCAUUUCCAUGAGUUUGUUUUUCCUCUCAGACCCAGGGGCUUAUCAGCACUUCCCUGCUUUACAGGGAUGCUGCGAUGAGUAAAUCCAUUAUAAACUGUGCAGUGCUGAGACACCAAGUCUACGGCCACACAAAUUAGUAGGAGAGGCCAAGGAAUGUUUUCCACCCCCAAGACCCAUUGGCAUGCCCAGCCAUCCCCAAAGGGAUGUGCUCCUGUCCCCCCAGAGCAGGAGAGCUGUGCCCAAACCACCUGCAGAGAACCACACUAGCUCCUGAAAUAUGCCUGGGCAUUGGCAGCAAACUCAUGCAAGGGCAAUGCCAACCAUUUAAUUGCAUGGGCAACUGCCUGGGCCUGUGCCCUGCCUCUACUUUAUUAAUUUAUUAGUACCUUGCUGCUAGCUUACACUCGCAUAGACAGAGAGCUUGCCAUCAGCAAGGGCAAUAAAGUGCCUGUGAGAGAAAAGUCCAAAGUGUUUUAUUGGUUUCAAAAUA
Molecule: long non-coding RNA, 1772 nt
Organism: Manacus vitellinus (golden-collared manakin)
Lineage: Eukaryota; Metazoa; Chordata; Aves; Passeriformes; Pipridae
Exons: 5
Source: RefSeq, a predicted model, not a curated record